RNAcentral lists this transfer RNA (64 nucleotides) under Anaulaciulus koreanus. Its description in RNAcentral is "tRNA-Asn". Lineage: Eukaryota; Metazoa; Arthropoda; Diplopoda; Julida; Julidae. The record is from RNAcentral.
UUAAUAGAAGCCAAAUUUAAGGCAAAUUAUUGUUAAUAAUUUAUUGGAAACUAUCCCUAUUAAG